Long non-coding RNA from Polypterus senegalus (gray bichir), 1961 nucleotides. RefSeq lists it as uncharacterized. Lineage: Eukaryota; Metazoa; Chordata; Cladistia; Polypteriformes; Polypteridae. The record is from RefSeq and is a predicted model, not a curated record. The transcript is spliced from 3 exons.
UUACUUUCAAAAUAUUUCAAAUUUUGGCAAUAUCCCACGUGCUGAGUUGUCACUGGCUGAUAAAUGUAACCCUCACCUCAUUGUAUUUAGACAACAGACGAUAUUCAAAGGCUUGCAGUGCCCACACAUUAGAAGAUGCUCAACUCUUACCUUUGUGGCCGGCUCAACUCCAGCACUUACCGGUCAUCAGACUUCCAUCCUGGACGCCCACAUUCAGUCACAUUCAGAAUAUUUUCCACAUAUCCGGCCUCAAGCAGACGUUAGAUAAUAGAACAUUUUUAGAAGUUGCCCUUUUUUGUUUUUUUAUCUGUUACCACCUGCAAUUACUGUGCCACUAAUUAGUGACUGGCAGGCAUGGUAUUGUUUGAGGGCGCAGCCACAGCAAUAACUAAACAUCUACGUGGACAGACAUAUGAACAUUGACGCAAUGAUUGAUAAGCACUAAUACCAGCCACAAACUUAGCCUUUCAACUCAUUUUUAUGCACAGCACAUCUGGUGCUUGAGCAAUACCUUCAUCUUUAAUGCACCAGUUUCAAUUCUUUUUGCCAUGACAAUCAAUGAAACUUAAAAUUUAAACCCCAAGGUGAGCAUUUCUCUGUAUAGGUAAAGUAAAUCAUGGCUACUAAGAGGCUGCCAAGCAUUUACCCAGCUCUGUGGUAAACAUAGAAAUGUGAAAAGAAAAUAGCACAAAGUUGAAGGCCUUGUCUUUUGUGUUACACAAUGAGGACUCCAAAACUGCAUUGAAAGUGGACACGCAAAAAACAUGCUAAUACAAGGCUAUAGGAAAUGGGAACAUGAAAACAGGAUUGAGCAGUACAUCAGUUUGCCACAUUCAGAUCUAUUAUAGCUACUGCCCUAGAAGACCCUCCCAAGGCAAUGCUCUGUUUAUUGGCUCAAUUCUCAUUAAGCCAGAAAGAAUAGCACCAAGAAGAGGAGCAGGAAGCCCGCCUCCUACUCCUUCCCUUCCAGUUCAUCAGGCUUAAAACCACAGUGCAACAGGAAAUAACAAUCAUUUAGAAGUGCAACGGAAAGAACAUACACACCUCUAUACAAAUUACAAAAUGUUAAGACGUCACAUUGUAUCUAUUUACUAACCUAAAACUGAAGUUAAUAAUUGGGCAGUGACUAAUGGUACCCCUUUGUUGUUUUCUCCAGCAUUACUGUUUAUGUCUCAAUUGUAUAAGUAAAGCUUCUUAAAUGUAAUGGUAUUGUAAAAUAAACUUUAGAAUUGAUCCAUAAUGAAGGACCUGUACAAUGUCCUGACUGAUUUAUGUUGCCAAAACUACCUUUUUGCUAAUUUUAUUGAUACUGUAUGUGUGACAUAUGAACUCUAAGCAAUUUCAUUACAUCUGCUCAGUCUCUGGCAUAGCAUUUAAUAAUAAAAAUUGGGCUUCUACUGAUUUUGUGAAAGAAAUAUCUUUCCCACCCUUGAUUCCAAACAAACUUUGAAGAAAAAGUUUUGCUAAACAAUAGGGUGACACAGUUACUCUGUGACUAGUGCUGCUGCUCCACAGCUCCAAAGUCCUCAGUUUAAAUUAUAGCUUGUUCUCUAACUGUGUAGUUUGCAUGUUCUCUCCGUGUUUGUGUUUCCCUAAGGAAUCCAGUUUUCCUCCCAUGUCCCAAAGAUGACCAUUUUUGAUUAAUUGGCGGCUCUAAACUGUCCCUGCAUUUGUGUGAGUGGGCCCUUUGAGAAACUAGCACUCCACCUUAAGUUAAUUCCUGCCUUACACCCAGGAUGCAGCACUCUGCAACUCUGAAUUAACUUAAGAAGGUUUCAGAAUAUACUGAUAGAAGUCAAGUAUUAUGUAUUUAUAAUACAAAAAGUAAAAAUGCAUGGAAAAUUAAAAAAUAAUAGUUUUCAGAAUUUUAAAUUCAGCACCAAUGGUAAUCACUACAUAAAUAUGUCAUAUGCAAAAUGAGUAUGCAAAGUUGUUUUUUUGCUUGAGUGAUCUUGUGUCCG